UGGGGAAUAUUGGACAAUGGGGGAAACCCUGAUCCAGCAAUGCCGCGUGAGUGAAGAAGGCCUUAGGGUUGUAAAGCUCUUUCGCCCGCGAAGAUAAUGACGGUAGCGGGAGAAGAAGCCCCGGCUAACUCCGUGCCAGCAGCCGCGGUAAUACGGUGGGGGCUUGCGUUGUUCGGAAUUACUGGGCGUAAAGCGUACGUAGGCGGAUGCGCAAGUUGGGGGUGAAAUCCCGGGGCUUAACCUCGGAAUUGCCCUCAAAACUGCACGUCUUGAGACCGAGAGAGGUAAGGGGAAUUCCUAGUGUAGAGGUGAAAUUCGUAGAUAUUAGGAAGAACACCAGUGGCGAAGGCGCCUUACUGGCUCGGUACUGACGCUGAGGUACGAAAGCGUGGGGAGCAAACA
Molecule: ribosomal RNA, 402 nt
Filed under: uncultured bacterium
Lineage: Bacteria
Description: bacterial SSU rRNA
Rfam family: Bacterial small subunit ribosomal RNA
Source: RNAcentral